Molecule: ribosomal RNA, 216 nt
Filed under: Enterobacteriaceae bacterium A2
Lineage: Bacteria; Pseudomonadati; Pseudomonadota; Gammaproteobacteria; Enterobacterales; Enterobacteriaceae
Description: partial 16S ribosomal RNA
Rfam family: Bacterial small subunit ribosomal RNA
Source: RNAcentral
CGGUCUGUCAGUCGGAUGUGAAAUCCCCGGGCUCAACCUGGGAACUGCAUCCGAAACUGGCAGGCUUGAGUCUCGUAGAGGGGGGUAGAAUUCCAGGUGUAGCGGUGAAAUGCGUAGAGAUCUGGAGGAAUACCGGUGGCGAAGGCGGCCCCCUGGACGAAGACUGACGCUCAGGUGCGAAAGCGUGGGGAGCAAACAGGAUUAGAUACCCUGGUA